AUCCAGAUGACGAGUCCGAAAUAGGACGAAACGCGUGUCCUGGAU
This 45-nucleotide non-coding RNA is filed under the name Schistosoma mansoni. The record is from RNAcentral. Lineage: Eukaryota; Metazoa; Platyhelminthes; Trematoda; Strigeidida; Schistosomatidae.